UGGCGAACGGGUGAGUAACACGUGGGCAACCUGGCCCAAAAGAGGGGGAUAACACUUGGAAACAGGUGCUAAUACCGCAUAACCAUAGUUACCGCAUGGUAACUAUGUAAAAGGUGGCUAUACUAACCGCUUUUGGAUGGGCCCGCGGCGCAUUAGCUAGUUGGUAGGGUAAAGGCUUACCAAGGCAAUGAUGCGUAGCCGAAUUGAGAGGUUGAUCGGCCACAUUGGGACUGAGACACGGCCCAAACUCCUACGGGAGGCAGCAG
Molecule: ribosomal RNA, 266 nt
Filed under: uncultured bacterium
Lineage: Bacteria
Description: partial 16S ribosomal RNA
Rfam family: Bacterial small subunit ribosomal RNA
Source: RNAcentral